RNAcentral lists this ribosomal RNA (706 nucleotides) under Microbacterium sp. SO8. Its description in RNAcentral is "bacterial SSU rRNA". It matches the Rfam family "Bacterial small subunit ribosomal RNA", at positions 542 to 1244 of the family's 1533-position model. The record is from RNAcentral. RNAcentral also lists the same sequence under 1 other name. Lineage: Bacteria; Bacillati; Actinomycetota; Actinomycetes; Micrococcales; Microbacteriaceae.
AGCAUCGGAUUAUUGGGCGUAAGAGCUCGUAGGCGGUUUCUUGCGUCUGCUGUGAAAUCCCGAGGCUCAACCUCGGGCCUGCAGUGGGUACGGGCAGACUAGAGUGCGGUAGGGGAGAUUGGAAUUCCUGGUGUAGCGGUGGAAUGCGCAGAUAUCAGGAGGAACACCGAUGGCGAAGGCAGAUCUCUGGGCCGUAACUGACGCUGAGGAGCGAAAGGGUGGGGAGCAAACAGGCUUAGAUACCCUGGUAGUCCACCCCGUAAACGUUGGGAACUAGUUGUGGGGUCCAUUCCACGGAUUCCGUGACGCAGCUAACGCAUUAAGUUCCCCGCCUGGGGAGUACGGCCGCAAGGCUAAAACUCAAAGGAAUUGACGGGGACCCGCACAAGCGGCGGAGCAUGCGGAUUAAUUCGAUGCAACGCGAAAAACCUUACCAAGGCUUGACAUAUACGACAACGGGCCAGAAAUGGUCAACUCUUUGGACACUCAUAAACAGGUGGUGCAUGGUUGUCGUCAGCUCGUGUCGUGAGAUGUUGGGUUAAGUCCCGCAACGAGCGCAACCCUCGUUCUAUGUUGCCAGCACGUAAUGGUGGGAACUCAUGGGAUACUGCCGGGGUCAACUCGGAGGAGUGUGGGUAUGACGUCAAAUCAUCAUGCCCCCUAUAUGUCUUGGCGCUUCACGCGUGCUACAAUGGGCCCGGGUACA